CAGCGCAAACGGGUUCCCAAACAGUGGGUCUGUGAAUGGCUCCUUACAUCAGCAGUCGUCCCCGCGGUGAAGUGUGAUUGGCACCGACAAAGAGAGGCAACAGCAGCGAAGGGCACGCGGUGCCCGAUGGACAUCCCCAAAAACCUAGUGGCUAAUACACGGUCGAUCGGGUCUGCCGCACGUGGCGCGGGCGGCCCCCCCGCGAACACCGGCGGACGCCCCACGCCCCCCCAACCCACCGUCCGCGGUGCGGUCCGGGGGGGCGCUCGGGGCCUCGCCGGGGGGGGGCCACGCGUUUUCCCACGCGAAGGCGUCAGCGAUCGCGCUGCCCCCCUCCGCGUGGUGGUGGAUUGCACCCAGCCGUCGGGACUGAAGACCAGCGCCCUGGGAAGGGCAGUGUGCUCGGCUGAAUCAGGCUGGUCCCCCCCCACUUCCCCGCGGGACGGUGUGGCACUGGCAGAGACAACGAGCACGCAGCCCCCCCGCCCCGCCCCGCACCCCACCGGGGGCGGGGGGGGGCGGGGGACACGGGAGUCCAUCAUCCGACAACCCAAGACGCGCGCGGCCGCCGCGUGUCGCGUGGGUGAAUGNGGUGGGGGCNGUGAGGGCCCCCCCUCCCCGCCCCCCUCCGGGUUCCCCCGCCCACACCGCGCGCCGCCGCGGACCUUGCUUGAUCGCUCGAACUUCUGACCUAUCAGCUUCUGACGGUGGUGCCGCGGACCACGGUGGCCCCAACGGGUGACGGAGAAUCAGGGUUCGAUUCCGGAGAGGGAGCCUGAGAGACGGCUACCACUACCAAGGUGGGCAGCAGGCGCGCAAAUUGCCCAAUACAGACGCACAACCCCCUGG
Molecule: ribosomal RNA, 849 nt
Filed under: Euglena velata
Lineage: Eukaryota; Euglenozoa; Euglenophyceae; Euglenales; Euglenaceae
Description: partial 18S ribosomal RNA
Rfam family: Eukaryotic small subunit ribosomal RNA (bases 663-849)
Source: RNAcentral